GCCAUGCCGCGUGCAGGAUGACGGUCCUAUGGAUUGUAAACUGCUUUUGCACAGGAAGAAACACUCCGACGUGUCGGAGCUUGACGGUACUGUGAGAAUAAGGAUCGGCUAACUCCGUGCCAGCAGCCGCGGUAAUACGGAGGAUCCAAGCGUUAUCCGGAAUCAUUGGGUUUAAAGGGUCCGUAGGCGGUCUUGUAAGUCAGUGGUGAAAGCCCAUCGCUCAACGGUGGAACGGCCAUUGAUACUGCAGGACUUGAAUUAUUGGGAAGUAACUAGAAUAUGUAGUGUAGCGGUGAAAUGCUUAGAGAUUACAUGGAAUACCAAUUGCGAAGGCAGGUUACUACCAAUGGAUUGACGCUGAUGGACGAAAGCGUGGGUAGCGAACAGGAUUAGAUACCCUGGUAGUCCACGCCGUAAACGAUGGAUACUAGCUGUUGGGAGCAAUCUCAGUGGCUAAGCGAAAGUGAUAAGUAUCCCACCUGGGGAGUACGAACGCAAGUUUGAAACUCAAAGGAAUUGACGGGGGCCCGCACAAGCGGUGGAGCAUGUGGUUUAAUUCGAUGAUACGCGAGGAACCUUACCAAGGCUUAAAUGCAGACUGACCGAUUUGGAAACAGAUCUUUCGC
RNAcentral lists this ribosomal RNA (626 nucleotides) under Flavobacterium sp. So2Pw_1339. RNAcentral's name for it is "bacterial SSU rRNA". It matches the Rfam family "Bacterial small subunit ribosomal RNA", at positions 391 to 1018 of the family's 1533-position model. The record is from RNAcentral. Lineage: Bacteria; Pseudomonadati; Bacteroidota; Flavobacteriia; Flavobacteriales; Flavobacteriaceae.